Non-coding RNA from Ciona intestinalis (vase tunicate), 2724 nucleotides. The record is from RefSeq and is a predicted model, not a curated record. NCBI's taxonomy places the organism in Eukaryota, Metazoa, Chordata, Ascidiacea, Phlebobranchia, Cionidae.
CUAUAUAUUAAUUAUUGAACAGUUUUAUUUCAGAGUCACAUUUUAUAGAGAUGUAUUAAUACAAAGAUGGCUACUACACCCAUUUUACCGAGUGAUUUUAUAUUUUUUGAUCAAGUAAAUUCUACAACAGUGUUGCCACCAGGAAAUUAUGCAGCUAAUGUAAGCACUGAUAUAGAUCUGGGCUCUUCAUUUAAUCAGACGCAGGGCAACAUAUGUGAGCCAAUUAACAACCCUCCAUUAAUAAUAACAGCUGGAAUAAUAUCAAUGGCUGUCAUUAUUGGAAAUGGGCUUGUCAUUCUCGCUAUUAUUGGCGGAAAUUCAAGGUUUUUUCGCCCUAUGUACUGGUUCAUAGUUCACUUAAGCUUCUCAGACUUGUUAGUUGGUUUAAUGUUGUUGUGGAAUUACUGCCUGGCCGGCAUUUUCAACAUUAACAACACAUUAACAAGUUUAUCAUUCUUAUUUGGUAUUUGGGUAACCAGUGCAUGCUGUUCUGUGUUUGGUAUUCUGUUACUUGCAAUAGACAGGUAUAUGCAGGUUGUUCACAAAGCUUUGCAUAAGUUAUACUUCAACCAAUUCACUGUCGGUUUAUCCAUAUUCUUAUCAUGGCUGAUUCCUUUGCUUGGUUUCUUGGUAAUCCCAAUCUCACUAAAUCUUUCUUGCAAAGAUACAUGCAGAUGCAUUGAAGGAAAAUACAUGGAGUGCAAACCAGUGACAAUAUGCUCGCAAAUUAUACCGCCCUACACAAAGAACUAUGUCUUAGCAGUGGCGAUGUAUUUAUUCCUAAUAAUGCCUUGGCCAAUCCUAAUUUACAGUCUUAUAUUUAUUAAGGCAAGGAGAAGUACUCAAGUUUUGCGUCAAAAACUUCGUACGAGAGAUAUACGUCUCAUACACACUCUAGUGGUGAUUAUGGUCGUUCUUAUUGUAACAAUCACACCGAGUGGAGUUAUUUUAAUAAUCUUGUGGAUUACACGUUCUACAUUGUCGUAAUUGCCACGUUAAACUCACUCGCAAAUCCUGUGCUUUAUAUAUGGAGGAUAACGGCGAUCCGUGUCUCGCUCCAGAGGAGGUUCUGGUGUUUUUUCUCCCCUCCAAAACAUCCCGGGAUCGAGAGCAGAUCUUCCAGGAUUGGGAAGAAAACAACUGACAGGUUCAACUCCGACGUAGUAAGCGUUGAUGUCUCUGAAGCUAACCACAGACCAACCGAGCGCUUCCUUUUCUGCGGACGUACCAUGUUCACGUCAAAUGUUUCCGAUAUAAGCCAAGAAUCAACUCCCGAUUCCCAGAGGGGCAGUGCGCAUAAGAGCCCUUGGUCGCGUAAUAAACACGGUUUAUCUGUCGAGCUUCAGCCGGUUUUGAACCCGAAACCCUCCACUCAUUCCCCAUUAUGUCAGAAUGUAGUGGUUGAAGAAGUUUGGAGGGAGAAUAACAGUCAUUUGAGUUCCCGCUCAACUUUUCGUACGAAGCGAGUCAGUUCGGGAUCAAAUAUCGAUGAAGAACUUCCGUUGCGUCCUGUGCAAAACUGAGGUCAUGUGACAUGAUAUGCUUUAGUGAGCAUGAGGUCAUGUGACUUGUCAUGGUUCAGUGAGCGUGGGGUCAUGUGACUUGUCAUAGCUCACCAUUUUAGCACUCUAGCUUUCCUAGUGGUCAUUUUAUGUCCGCGUUUAAUUUAUCUUUAAAUUUUACCGCAUAAAUUUUAAAAGUGCAAUGUAUACCAUAAAUCUAACUUCUAAAGAAACUAAUUUAUUUAUUGUAUGAAAAAACUGAAACUACCAAAUUACGCAACCAAAGAUAAAAAAAGCACAUAAGUUCCUUAUACCAAACGUCCUAGUUAAAUGUUUUUACAUUUAUUCUUGCCUUGCGUACUAUUACACAACAUUGCUGUUUUUAAUGUUCCAAAUACGAGUUUCAUUUUCCCAAAUAUUUUUGAUUUUUUUAAACAUUUUUUUCAGUGCCCUUAUUUUUUGCAUAGUUUUUUCCUAUAAAUGGCUGCUUCAUGUAUAUUUAAAACUAGUUUUAAACUUGAUUUUGUGCUUUUUUACCUUGUAUUUUUGUCAUACAUUCGGUAAAAGUACUUUUUUUGAUGAAGUUUUUGCCUUUUACAAUAUCAAUGCAUAAUCAAGUCUAUUUUUAUUGAUCAAACAACAAUAUUCCUUUUUUAGUUUAAAAUUUUAUGUUUUCAUUAUUGCCCCAGCCCCAAUUUGGAACUGAAUAAAGAAUUAUGAAAACCAGUGCUUCUCAACCCCAAAAUAAAAAAAACUUUUUUGGUUAGGUCAUUUACUACAGUGGUUCAGAAAGCCUUCUAACUUUUUCAAUAAAACCUAAAACAUUUCAAUAUAAUAUACAGUGGGGUAAGAUGGAUACCAGUAGCACAUAAAAUCCUAUAUGUGUUAACAAUUAACAACGCUGUUUUUUUACUUGUGGGGCUACUUUUUUUACUUUUUACAAGUUUUAAAAAGGCCUAUCUUACCCCACCCUACUAUAUACUCACAAAAAAAUAAGUGAAAAAAAUAGUUUUCAAAAUUUGGUCGCCAAAAUUUUCCCAUUAAUUUUUAAUUAAAAUAUGGGUUGCUACUAUAAGGUUGAGAAGCACUGAAUAAGCCAAAGUGUAUAGGUUGUAUGAUACACUGUGGAGAAUAUGGGGUUGGCUUGUUAACUCUGUUUGUAUAACGUAGUAUUCAAUCUUCAAUGCUCUUGUAAUUGUUAAAAUUAAACGCUGUAAGCGUA